Long non-coding RNA from Armigeres subalbatus, 1313 nucleotides. RefSeq lists it as uncharacterized. The transcript is spliced from 3 exons. NCBI's taxonomy places the organism in Eukaryota, Metazoa, Arthropoda, Insecta, Diptera, Culicidae. The record is from RefSeq and is a predicted model, not a curated record.
GAACAAUGCCGCGCAUAACCAAUUGAAAUAAUGGUGUUGGUAAAUGGUCAGUCUUCUGCGAAGUUACUGUUUGGACCAGAGUGUCGAGAACAUCAACGGAAUGAUGAAAACCCUUGCACUACUGGCUCUGCGCCACGAAUUGACACACGCUCUCGAAUUGACAAACGCCUAACAGAUCUAUCAAGACGUGACCGAGAAUCAUCCUAUAUAGAUCUACUUGGCAAUUCUCAUCAGCACAUGGCGCCAUUCAGUGUGGCAAACAUGUCACAAAAAAGUUAGAAAAAUUCGAUUACUGUUUAAUGACCACCGAUCUUGCCACCGAUACAUAGAGGUUGUCCUAUGUCUACAGCUGAUUAUGCUACUGUCCCUCGAUUGUCCCGAUAGUUUGACACGUUACAAAUCCUUCAAAUCCUAAGAUUAGUUUGACAAUAGCAGACAAAUACUUCGCACGUUGACCAAAAACUGAUUGCUGGAGUUCGAAAAUGCAGUUGCAAAGCUGAUCAAAUGCCUCUUCACCCCGCCGGUCUCUGGUUAUAGUUUCACCCAGCGAGAAAAUCAAAAAUACUUCAAGAAACCCAAAUCGAUAGCAAAAUGGCAACGCUAGAGAAGUCCAAAACAAAAUGCUAGCAUUGAAUGAAGCUUAAACGCAAACUAAAACCAUUAGUUCUGCCAUACAGUCGAUGUCCACGAUGAAGAGGAUUCGGUGAACCCGUGGUCGGUACCUAUUUUCGACGAUUUGAAAUUGAACGUGCGAACUUACCCAGGAAGCGCUGCAGUUCUUCAGCAAUCCACUGAGUUCAGCUCCAAUCUAAAGGAUUCUAUUAAGCAGUUGUACUCCUAGUGCGACCCAUCCACACAAUGCUCGUAACCCGAAUUAAAUCUAAAAUCUACGAGACUAAGCCUACACCCACUGCUCAGCUGUCUUCCGCCCAAUGCGCCCGUAAUACUGAAUCCUACGUUUGACCCGACUCAACUAGCCCAUUUAUAUCUGCAUUAUGUUCACAUUCCUCCGAAAAGUCAUCACCGACAAGCGGUUCUUAACGGACGCUCGUAGCAUGAUGGUAAAGUUGGCUGCCACCCAACUAAGCAUUACAACAAGGCACGAUCAUUUGUUGUAUGCUGUUACACGACCUGCGAUAGGACCCGGUAGGACGGGAGAAGGAAACGAAUUUCUUAAAAUGCUGAAACUGGACAUGAUCCGGGUGAACAUGAACGGAUCAUUCGUUCAGGAGAAGAAGUGGAUGAUUGUGGACAGCGAUGGGGAAGACAUCCUUCGAUUGUGGAAGAUCGGUACGUGGCAGUACUUGACAGGG